This 29-nucleotide non-coding RNA is filed under the name Rattus norvegicus (Norway rat). Lineage: Eukaryota; Metazoa; Chordata; Mammalia; Rodentia; Muridae. The record is from RNAcentral.
UGGCGAGAUCACACGGUGCUGAUACGUUU